RNAcentral lists this ribosomal RNA (253 nucleotides) under uncultured bacterium. RNAcentral's name for it is "partial 16S ribosomal RNA". It matches the Rfam family "Bacterial small subunit ribosomal RNA", at positions 524 to 776 of the family's 1533-position model. The record is from RNAcentral.
UACGUAGGGCCCGAGCGUUGUCCGGAAUUAUUGGGCGUAAAGAGCUCGUAGGCGGUUUGUCGCGUCUGCUGUGAAAUCCCGAGGCUCAACCUCGGGCCUGCAGUGGGUACGGGCAGACUGGAGUGCGGUAGGGGAGAAUGGAAUUCCUGGUGUAGCGGUGAAAUGCGCAGAUAUCAGGAGGAACACCGGUGGCGAAGGCAGCUCGCUGGGACGUUACUGACGCUGAGACGCGAAAGCGUGGGGAGCAAACAGG